This 140-nucleotide small nucleolar RNA is filed under the name Myotis davidii. Its description in RNAcentral is "Small nucleolar RNA SNORA57". It matches the Rfam family "Small nucleolar RNA SNORA57". Rfam says of the family: U99 belongs to the H/ACA class of snoRNAs which are thought to guide the sites of modification of uridines to pseudouridines, the target for this family is unknown. Lineage: Eukaryota; Metazoa; Chordata; Mammalia; Chiroptera; Vespertilionidae. The record is from Rfam by way of RNAcentral.
CCUCCUCUUGUUGGCGGGGUCCGGGCGUGCGGUCCCAGUUCCCGUAAUGAACGGAGACAGAGGGAGAGAGCCCCGGCGUCAUUCCUUCCAUGCCAACAGUUUCCAGUCCACUGGUUCUAUCCUCAAGCGCCGGGACUCGG